RNAcentral lists this ribosomal RNA (219 nucleotides) under uncultured bacterium. RNAcentral's name for it is "partial 16S ribosomal RNA". It matches the Rfam family "Bacterial small subunit ribosomal RNA", at positions 116 to 334 of the family's 1533-position model. The record is from RNAcentral.
UAUCGGAACGUGCCCAGUCGUGGGGGAUAACGUAGAGAAAUUUACGCUAAUACCACAUACGAUCUAAGGAUGAAAGCGGGGGACUUCGCAAGAGGCCUCGCGCGAUUGGAGCGGCUGAUAUCAGAUUAGGUUGUUGGUGAGGUAAAAGCUCACCAAGCCGACGAUCUGUAGCUGGUUUGAGAGAACGACCAGCCACACUGGGACUGAGACACGGCCCAG